GACAGCAGCCGCCACGGGAAUACGUAGGGUGCGAGCGUUAAUCGGAAUUACUGGGCGUAAAGCGUGCGCAGGCGGUUCGUUAAGACAGAUGUGAAAUCCCCGGGCUUAACCUGGGAACUGCAUUUGUGACUGGCGAGCUAGAGUAUGGCAGAGGGGGGUAGAAUCCCACGUGUAGCAGUGAAAUGCGUAGAGAUGUGGAGGAAUACCGAUGGCGAAGGCAGCCCCCUGGGCCAAUACUGACGCUCAUGCACGAAAGCGUGGGGAGCAAACAGGAUUAGAUACCCGCGUAGUCCCUGUCUCUUAUAA
This 306-nucleotide ribosomal RNA is filed under the name uncultured bacterium. Its description in RNAcentral is "partial 16S ribosomal RNA". It matches the Rfam family "Bacterial small subunit ribosomal RNA", at positions 507 to 809 of the family's 1533-position model. The record is from RNAcentral.